RNAcentral lists this ribosomal RNA (250 nucleotides) under uncultured bacterium. RNAcentral describes it as "partial 16S ribosomal RNA". It matches the Rfam family "Bacterial small subunit ribosomal RNA", at positions 524 to 776 of the family's 1533-position model. The record is from RNAcentral.
UACAGGAGAAGCUGACGUUAUUCGUCGUUACUGGGUGUAAAGGGUAUGUAGAUUUUAAUACUUAAAUAUUAAUUUUAAUAAUCAAAUUUUAUCAAAGUUAAAUUAAUAGUAUUAUAAGAGUUGCCGUAUAAAUAAUAGAACUUCCUUUGUAAAGGUGAAAAUUGUAAAUAAAGGAAUGAAUACCUUAAAUGAAAAUUAUUAUUUUUUUGCAACUGACAUUUAUUAUACGUAGGUUUGGGUAGCAAACAAG